GUCCAAAACUAUUUUAGUAUAAAAUGUUAAUAAUCAAGUUUAUAACAACUUCAUUUCCUUUCUUUACAAUAUUUCUCAUAUAAACCUCAACAUCCAAGUGGCAUUUAUCAUGCAUUCAAAGCCAACCAAUAUCAAUCAUAUAUCAUCUCAUACUAGCACACAUAACCAUGAUGAUACAUAUAUCAAUAUGACGAGGCCGUUUACUUAUAUAUACACAACAACAUUUAUCAAAAAAAAAAGCCAAAUCAAAUGGCUAAAUACUUGACCAAAUCAUGUAGGCUACAUUAGCCCAACAACCUAUACAAUGCCAUUAUAACCCAAAAAUAAUAAACCAUGAGUACCAAAAUAGCCAAUAGAUAGUGUGAUGAUGUCUCUGACUCUUCCAACUGCGCGAACUUCCGAUAUCUAGAUACACAAAGAAUUUUAAAACGACGUAAGUAUAAAAUGCUUAGUAAGUUUGUAAUUCAAAGAAGUAAAGCCUAUAACUUCAAUUUAUAAGCAUAAUUUAUUUAAGUCACUCCAACAUGCCUUGGCCUUAGCCUAACCAACAUUAGCCUUUCAAUUUUAAACAUCACAUGAACUAGCAAAUUAUUACAAAACAUUAUGACAUAAGUUUACAUUACUUAUGUGCAUUCACAUAUCAACCAUAUAGCUAAAUAUAUUUUAAUCAUCCAAAAACUCAUUCUUCUCCAUUCUUUCAAUAGCAAUUCAAAUUGAAGAAUUUUUCAAUCUUUACCUUUUUCUCAUAUCCAUUGAACCACAAUUUAAAUGAAUAAACAUAUCAUAAUAUAACUCAUAUUGUUCCACCAACCUAUCAUACAUUCAUUCACAAGGUUAGCUACGAAAUUCACAAAUUUCAUCAAUUCAAUGCUUGUACAGUUCUUGUACAUACCUGUACCAUCUCGUACCAAUUUCAUACUCAUCCAUAUUUUUGAUAUACCCAUUGAACCAUUUGGAAUAAAUAUUGGAUACUCGGGAAUCUUGCACACUAAGUGCUAAUAUCAUGGCUCGAAGCCAAAUCAAUGUAACUUUAAUGACAUGCCCUUUGUAUCUUAAUUUAUUCCUAAGGUUCAACUGGGUUUUCCAAUGCUAAAUUUUCAUAAAAUACUUCCGUACAAUCAUAAUCAUCAACAAUUCAAAUAUACAGCAUUAAAUCUCAAUUAUAAUAAUGUUUAUUAACAAGCUCAUACAUCCAUGUACAUACCUGUACCGAUCCAUAACAAAAUCAUACUUACACGAAAUGUCGCUGCACAAUCGAUGUCUUGCACGCUAAGUGCUAUACCGGAUGUUUCGCACACUAAGUGCCAUCCUCGAUACUUCGUACACUAAGUGCCAUUUCGGAUGUUUCGCACACUAAGUGUCAUCAUCAAUACUUCGUAUACUAAGUGCCAUUUCGGAUGUCUCGCACACUAAGUGCCAUCCUCAAUACUUCGGACGCUAAGUGCCAUUUCAAAUGUCUCGCACACUAAGUGCCAUUUCAGAUGUCUCGCACACUAAGUGUCAUCCUCAAUACUUCGCACACUAAGUGCCGUUCGUUUGGUCGAUAAAUCAUUAAUCAUUAAAAUACUCAUAAAUAUUUCAUUUAUAUGAUUUCAACGCAUUAAAUGCUUAAUAUAAUAAUACUUAAUACGUACGAACUUACCUGACUAAAUUGUAGAAAUACCAAAGUUCAGGGGCAUUUUGGAAAUUUUUCAUUUUCCUUGAUUUUUCCACCCGAUCUUGAUCUAAAUUAAUAAUUUUAUUUAAUAUAUUAAUUUAGACAGUAAAAAAAUUCAUUUCAUACAAAUUGAUCAUUUUUUAUAUUUUUACAAAAUUACCCCUAAAAUUUUACUUUUAUUCAAUUUAGUCACUGAGCUCAAAACAUACAAAUUAACCAUUUUUAACCAAAAUUGAGCUUAGCCAAAUAUUCAUGGUAUCAAAAACAACCUAUAAUUCACUUUAUGGAAAAAUUAUAUUUUUGCCCCGAAUAUUUUAACUUUUUUACAAUUUAGUCCCUAGGCUCAUAAAAAUGAAACUCAUGAAAUUUCAACACACUCAAGCCUAUCCCAAUAUAUUAUAAGCCUACAGCAGCCUAUAAAUUUCACAAUUUCACUUGUUAACACACAAUUUUUGUAUUUAUCAAUUUAAUCUCUAAUCGAUAAUUUCAUCAAAAAUCACUUAACAAAAAGUGUUUAACACCCAACAAGGUUUCAUUUUCUUCCAUUAAACUUCAUAAGCAACUAUCAUGCUUUCAUGGCAAAACUCUAAAUUUUUAACCAUAUUGUAAAUUAAUCCUCUCUUUAGCUAGAGUAAGACACAAGGUUUUCAAAAACAUGAAAAUCAUUAAAAACGAACACCAAUUUCACUUACAUGCAAGGGAUUUUGUGGCUGAAAAAAUCAAGCUUUCAAAGCUCUUUCUUUGCUGAUUUUUUCGGUGAAGAAGAAGAUGAAGAUGACCAUUUUUUUGUUUCUUUCUUUUCUUUUAAUUAUUCUAUUUACUAAUAAUUAUUCCCAAC
RNAcentral lists this long non-coding RNA (2495 nucleotides) under Gossypium barbadense (sea-island cotton). RNAcentral describes it as "long non-coding RNA (GBAR_LNC001056)". The record is from RNAcentral. Lineage: Eukaryota; Viridiplantae; Streptophyta; Magnoliopsida; Malvales; Malvaceae.